Molecule: ribosomal RNA, 1266 nt
Filed under: human gut metagenome
Description: bacterial LSU rRNA
Rfam family: Bacterial large subunit ribosomal RNA
Source: RNAcentral
UAUGGAAAAGCAAAUGUAGGCAUGAGUAACGAUAAUGCGGGAGAGUAACCCGCACACCGCAAGACCAAGGUUUCCUGAUCAACGCUAAUCGGAUCAGGGUUAGUCGGGUCCUAAGGGUAAGCCGAACGGCGAUCUCGAUGGAUAAUCGGUUAAUAUUCCGAUACUAACAUAUACCUCGAUGGAGAGACGAAGGAACGUAAGUGCCGCCACCUGACGGAAUAGGUGGUUAAAGGGCGUAGGUAUAGGGGCAGAUUAAGAGUUAGUCCUUGCUGAAACCUGACAGUACAGAGAGCCUACGGGCAAUUUGAUAGUGCACCCAAGUCGACUUCCGAGAAAAUCUUCUAAGUUAUAGUAUAUGUUACCCGUACCGUAAACCGACACAGGUGGUCGAGGAGAGUAUCCUAAGGUGCUCGAGUGAAUCACGGUUAAGGAACUAGGCAAAUUAACCCCGUAACUUCGGGAAAAGGGGUCCCUAUGAAAGUAGGGCGCAGCGAAGAGGUCCAGGCGACUGUUUAUCAAAAACACAGGGCUCUGCAAAUUCGAAAGAAGACGUAUAGGGCCUGACACCUGCCCGGUGCUGGAAGGUUAAGAGGGGAUGUCAUCGCAAGAGAAGCAUUGAAUCGAAGCCCCAGUAAACGGCGGCCGUAACUAUAACGGUCCUAAGGUAGCGAAAUUCCUUGUCGGGUAAGUUCCGACCUGCACGAAUGGUGUAACGAUCUGGACACUGUCUCAACCGUGAGCUCGGUGAAAUUGUAGUCCCGGUGAUGAUGCCGGGUACCCGCAACGGGACGAAAAGACCCCGUGAACCUUUACUAUAGCUUAACGCUGAAUUUGGGUACACAAUGUGUAGGAUAGGCCGGAGGCUUUGAAGCGGGCACGCCAGUGUUCGUGGAGCCGACGUUGAAAUACGGCCCUUUGUGUAUUUGAGUUCUAACCCUGCGAAGGGGACACCGUUUGGUGGGUAGUUUGACUGGGGUGGUCGCCUCCAAAAGCGUAACGGAGGCUUCCCAAGGUACCCUCAGCACGAAUGGUAACCGUGCGCGGAGUGCAAUAGCAUAAGGGUGCUUGACUGUGAGACAUACAAGUCGACCAGGUACGAAAGUAGGGUAUAGUGAUCCGGUGGUUCUGCGUGGACUGGCCAUCGCUCAAAGGAUAAAAGGUACUCCGGGGAUAACAGGCUGAUCGCCGCCAAGAGCUCAUAUCGACGCGGCGGUUUGGCACCUCGAUGUCGGCUCGUCACAUCCUGGGGCUGGAGAAGGUCCCAAG